Molecule: ribosomal RNA, 445 nt
Filed under: uncultured bacterium
Lineage: Bacteria
Description: partial 16S ribosomal RNA
Rfam family: Bacterial small subunit ribosomal RNA
Source: RNAcentral
CAUGCCUUACACAUGCAAGUCGAACGCGAAAGUGUCUUCGGACAUUAGUAGAGUGGCAAACGGGUGAGUAACGCGUGGGAAUCUACCUUAUAGUACGGAAUAGCCUCGGGAAACUGGGAUUAAUACCGUAUAUUCCCUUCGGGGGAAAGAUUUAUCGCUAUAAGAUGAGCCCGCGUCAGAUUAGCUAGUUGGUGGGGUAAAAGCCUACCAAGGCAACGAUCUGUAGCUGGUCUGAGAGGACGAUCAGCCACAUUGGGACUGAGACACGGCCCAAACUCCUACGGGAGGCAGCAGUGGGGAAUAUUGGACAAUGGACGAAAGUCUGAUCCAGCAAUGCCGCGUGAAUGAUGAAGGCCUUAGGGUUGUAAAGUUCUUUAAGUGGGGAAGAUAAUGACGGUACCCACAGAAUAAGCACCGGCUAACUUCGUGCCAGCAGCCGCCGUAA